CUCGCGAGAGCAAGCGGACCUCAUAAAGUGCGUCGUAGUCCGGAUUGGAGUCUGCAACUCGACUCCAUGAAGUCGGAAUCGCUAGUAAUCGUGGAUCAGAAUGCCACGGUGAAUACGUUCCCGGGCCUUGUACACACCGCCCGUCACACCAUGGGAGUGGGUUGCAAAAGAAGUAGGUAGCUUAACCUUCGGGAGGGCGCUUACCACUUUGUGAUUCAUGACUGGGGUGAAGUCGUAACAAGGUAACCGUAGGGGAACCUGCGGUUGGAUCACCUCC
This 277-nucleotide ribosomal RNA is filed under the name Listeria monocytogenes. RNAcentral describes it as "partial 16S ribosomal RNA". It matches the Rfam family "Bacterial small subunit ribosomal RNA", at positions 1254 to 1530 of the family's 1533-position model. Lineage: Bacteria; Bacillati; Bacillota; Bacilli; Caryophanales; Listeriaceae. The record is from RNAcentral.